RNAcentral lists this transfer RNA (106 nucleotides) under Moniliophthora perniciosa FA553. It matches the Rfam family "tRNA". From Rfam's summary of the family: Transfer RNA (tRNA) molecules are approximately 80 nucleotides in length. Their secondary structure includes four short double-helical elements and three loops (D, anti-codon, and T loops). The record is from Rfam by way of RNAcentral. Lineage: Eukaryota; Fungi; Basidiomycota; Agaricomycetes; Agaricales; Marasmiaceae.
GGCGAGAUGGCCGAGCGGUCUAAGGCGCCAGACUAAGGAGACCAGCGCCUUUGAGGUGUCACCAAUCUGGUCCGAAAGGGCGUGGGUUCGAAUCCCACUCUCGUCA